GAUGAACGCUGGCGGCGUGCCUAAUACAUGCAAGUCGAGCGAACAGACGAGGAGCUUGCUCCUCUGACGUUGGCGGCGGACGGGUGAGUAACACGUGGAUAACCUACCUAUAAGACUGGGAUAACUUCGGGAAACCGGAGCUAAUACCGGAUAAUAUAUUGAACCGCAUGGUUCAAUAGUGAAAGACGGUUUUGCUGUCACUUAUAGAUGGAUCCGCGCCGCAUUAGCUAGUUGGUAAGGUAACGGCUUACCAAGGCAACGAUGCGUAGCCGACCUGAGAGGGUGAUCGGCCACACUGGAACUGAGACACGGUCCAGACUCCUACGGGAGGCAGCAGUAGGGAAUCUUCCGCAAUGGGCGAAAGCCUGACGGAGCAACGCCGCGUGAGUGAUGAAGGUCUUCGGAUCGUAAAACUCUGUUAUUAGGGAAGAACAAAUGUGUAAGUAACUAUGCACGUCUUGACGGUACCUAAUCAGAAAGCCUCGGCUAACUACGUG
This 497-nucleotide ribosomal RNA is filed under the name uncultured bacterium. Its description in RNAcentral is "partial 16S ribosomal RNA". It matches the Rfam family "Bacterial small subunit ribosomal RNA", at positions 28 to 507 of the family's 1533-position model. The record is from RNAcentral.